This 271-nucleotide unclassified non-coding RNA is filed under the name Exophiala sp. RNAcentral describes it as "partial internal transcribed spacer region". The stretch from base 1 to 46 matches the Rfam family "Eukaryotic small subunit ribosomal RNA", at positions 1786 to 1831 of the family's 1831-position model. Lineage: Eukaryota; Fungi; Ascomycota; Eurotiomycetes; Chaetothyriales; Herpotrichiellaceae. The record is from RNAcentral.
AAGUCGUAACAAGGUUUCCGUAGGUGAACCUGCGGAAGGAUCAUUAACGAGUUAGGGUCCCUCGUGGCCCGACCUCCCAACCCUUUGUCUACUUAACCACUGUUGCUUCGGCGAGCCCGUCUGUAAUGGACCGCCGGGGGGUACCUUGAUCGGCCCUCUGGGCAGCGCUCGUCGGUGGCCAAACUUUUAAAAUCUUAACCAAACGUGCCUCAGUCUAAGUAUUAUUUGUUAAAUAAAAGCAAAACUUUCAACAACGGAUCUCUUGGUUCUG